GAUGAACGCUGGCGGCGUGCCUAAUACAUGCAAGUCGAGCGAACAGACGAGGAGCUUGCUCCUCUGACGUUAGCGGCGGACGGGUGAGUAACACGUGGAUAACCUACCUAUAAGACUGGGAUAACUUCGGGAAACCGGAGCUAAUACCGGAUAAUAUAUUGAACCGCAUGGUUCAAUAGUGAAAGACGGUUUUGCUGUCACUUAUAGAUGGAUCCGCGCCGCAUUAGCUAGUUGGUAAGGUCACGGCUUACCAAGGCAACGAUGCGUAGCCGACCUGAGAGGGUGGUCGCCCAGCCUGGAACUGAGAAACGGCCCAGACUCCUACGGGAGGAAGCGGUAGGGAAUCUUACGCAAUGGGCGAAAGCCUGACGGAGCAACGCCGCGUGAGUGAUGAAGGUCUUCGGAUCGUAAAACUCUGUUAUUAGGGAAGAACAAAUGUGUAAGUAACUAUGCACGUCUUGACGGUACCUAAUCAGAAAGCCACGGCUAACUACGUG
This 497-nucleotide ribosomal RNA is filed under the name uncultured bacterium. Its description in RNAcentral is "partial 16S ribosomal RNA". It matches the Rfam family "Bacterial small subunit ribosomal RNA", at positions 28 to 507 of the family's 1533-position model. The record is from RNAcentral.